Molecule: non-coding RNA, 87 nt
Organism: Mycena galericulata
Lineage: Eukaryota; Fungi; Basidiomycota; Agaricomycetes; Agaricales; Mycenaceae
Source: the annotation of a GenBank genome assembly
GGCCCGGUGGUGUAUGGUACAUGCCUGCUGCUGCUAGGGCCAAAGAGGUUCCAGCGGGAGUCGCUCGUUUGAUUCAGGCCCGGGUCA